AUUAUCAGGUUCUCUCCCCCAGCCGAUCCCCGGACAUGGAGGUGGCGGCGGAAAUUGAGGUUUUCCCGGCGGUUGGUAUAUAUAAUUAAGCCUAAGAUGUAAUGAAUAAAAUGCAUGCUUGGACGUGCAUACAUGCUCGUGGUGUGCCGGUUUUACUUGUUAUAUAUAUUAUGAUAUUAUGAUGAUGUAACCGUCUGAUUUAUGUAAUUUUGCUUACGCUAAUACACCAACUUUUAAGUAUUUUUAGUUUUGCAUAUAAAUUGAAAAUUUGGGUAAAAUGAUACAUACCUAUUUUGAAAGAUAAAACGUACAAAAUACCCUUCUUUUAUUUUGAAAGAUGAAACGUACAAAAUACCCAUCGUUUAUAGCAGAUANNNNNNNNNNNNNNNNNNNNNNNNNNNNNNNNNNNNNNNNNNNNNNNNNNNNNNNNAAAAAAAUACUACGCGGCGGAUAUCCCGGCGGAGGUUAUCCCGGCGGGCGGGAUAUCCCCCGGCGGAGGUUAUCCCCGGCGGCGGAAAUGGUGGAGGAAUUCCGCGCGGAUACGGAUCAGGUUCUCUCCCCAAGGCGAUACCCAGUUACGGAUCAGGUUCUCUCCCCCAGCCGGGCCCCGGACAUGGAGGUGGCGGCGGAAAUUGAGGUUUUCCCGGCGGUUGGUAUAUAUAAUUAAGCCUAAGAUGUAAUGAAUAAAAUGCAUGCUUGGACGUGCAUACAUGCUCGUGGUGUGCCGGUUUUACUUGUUAUAUAUAUUAUGAUAUUAUGAUGAUGUAACCGUCUGAUUUAUGUAAUUUUGCUUACGCUAAUACACCAACUUUUAAGUAUUUUUAGUUUUGCAUAUAAAUUGAAAAUUGGGGUAAAAUGAUACAUACCUAUUUUGAAAGAUAAAACGUACAAAAUACCCUUCUUUUAUUUUGAAAGAUGAAACGUACAAAAUACCCAUCGUUUAUAGCAGAUAGGAUCCUCUCUCCCACAAUUUAGGGUGUACCACUCUUAAGUUAUCUAUUUUAUAAUUAUUUGUUGUAAAAAUAAAAUAUAUUAUUUAUAACUAAAAAUUGAAAUUUUAAAAAAUUAUAUACCCUAAUUUUGAAUUAAUUAACCCAAAUAAUCAAUUAUUAAUUCAAAUAAAUAUAAAAAAAUAAUUAUAAACCCUAAUUGGAUGAGUGAACCCUUGUUAAUUAUCUUCUUAUUAUAUUAAAGCAUAAUAAAUUAAAAUUGAAGAAAAUAUAAUUAAAAAUUAUAAUAAAUUAAGAGUGAUACACGGUCGUACACACUAAAUUGUGGAACAGAGGAUCCUAUGUGAUUCUCAACUUGUAAUCGACAAUUGUCGAGUAUUAGUGUAUUUUCUAAGAAUCUUGGAAGAAAAUGGUGGCUGUGAGCCUGUGAGUAUCUCUAAAUUCAAAAUCCCACUUUUAAUUAAAUACCCGAUUGCUUCGACAAUUUAAUUUACUACGUUUGGCUCAAAAGAAUACCAUACAAGGUGAUCAAAAUUCUAGUUUUAGCUAUAUAUUACGCCAUGUUCGAUUACAAUUAUAAUCUUCCAAAUAAGAAAUUUCGACCUGUCUAUGAAUAUUCAUCGGUUCAAUGGAAAAAUCGAGAAUCGGAAUAUAGGAAAAAUCUUGGGCUUCUCAAACUCAAUGAUUGCUCAAGCAAUAGAUUGAGCCGAAACAUUCCAAAAUAAUUUUUAAUUCAGUAAGCUUUGGAUUAAUUUCCUUAAACCUAUAACAUCAAAAUCAAAUGAUACUCCCUUCGUUCCAUUACAAAUGUCUCACUUUUCAUAAUGGGAUGUAUGUAAUACCCGAUAAUAUUUUAUGAUUAAAUGUUAUUAUAUUUUUUAGAUGUUGUUCAUUUGGUAAACAAAUUUUAAAUAAAUAAGUUAUCA
RNAcentral lists this long non-coding RNA (1876 nucleotides) under Salvia miltiorrhiza (redroot sage). Its description in RNAcentral is "long non-coding RNA (SMIL_LNC008506)". Lineage: Eukaryota; Viridiplantae; Streptophyta; Magnoliopsida; Lamiales; Lamiaceae. The record is from RNAcentral.